GAUGAACACUGGCGGCGUGCCUAAUACAUGCAAGUCGAGCGAACGGACGAGAAGCUUGCUUCUCUGAUGUUAGCGGCGGACGGGUGAGUAACACGUGGAUAACCUACCUGUAAGACUGGGAUAACUUCGGGAAACCGGAGCUAAUACCGGAUAAUAUUUUGAACCGCAUGGUUCAAAAGUGAAAGACGGUCUUGCUGUCACUUAUAGAUGGAUCCGCGCUGCAUUAGCUAGUUGGUAAGGUAACGGCUUACCAAGGCAACGAUGCAUAGCCGACCUGAGAGGGUGAUCGGCCACACUGGAACUGAGACACGGUCCAGACUCCUACGGGAGGCAGCAGUAGGGAAUCUUCCGCAAUGGGCGAAAGCCUGACGGAGCAACGCCGCGUGAGUGAUGAAGGUCUUCGGAUCGUAAAACUCUGUUAUUAGGGAAGAACAUAUGUGUAAGUAACUGUGCACAUCUUGACGGUACCUAAUCAGAAAGCCACGGCUAACUACGUGCCAGCAGCCGCGGUAAUACGUAGGUGGCAAGCGUUAUCCGGAAUUAUUGGGCGUAAAGCGCGCGUAGCGGUUUUUUAAGUCUGAUGUGAAAGCCCACGGCUCAACCGUGGAGGGUCAUUGGAAACUGGAAAACUUGAGUGCAGAAGAGGAAAGUGGAAUUCCAUGUGUAGCGGUGAAAUGCGCAGAGAUAUGGAGGAACACCAGUGGCGAAGGCGACUUUCUGGUCUGUAACUGACGCUGAUGUGCGAAAGCGUGGGGAUCAAACAGGAUUAGAUACCCUGGUAGUCCACGCCGUAAACGAUGAGUGCUAAGUGUUAGGGGGUUUCCGCCCCUUAGUGCUGCAGCUAACGCAUUAAGCACUCCGCCUGGGGAGUACGACCGCAAGGUUGAAACUCAAAGGAAUUGACGGGGACCCGCACAAGCGGUGGAGCAUGUGGUUUAAUUCGAAGCAACGCGAAGAACCUUACCAAAUCUUGACAUCCUUUGACAACUCUAGAGAUAGAGCUUUCCCCUUCGGGGGACAAAGUGACAGGUGGUGCAUGGUUGUCGUCAGCUCGUGUCGUGAGAUGUUGGGUUAAGUCCCGCAACGAGCGCAACCCUUAAGCUUAGUUGCCAUCAUUAAGUUGGGCACUCUAAGUUGACUGCCGGUGACAAACCGGAGGAAGGUGGGGAUGACGUCAAAUCAUCAUGCCCCUUAUGAUUUGGGCUACACACGUGCUACAAUGGACAAUACAAAGGGCAGCGAAACCGUGAGGUCAAGCAAAUCCCAUAAAGUUGUUCUCAGUUCGGAUUGUAGUCUGCAACUCGACUACAUGAAGCUGGAAUCGCUAGUAAUCGUAGAUCAGCAUGCUACGGUGAAUACGUUCCCGGGUCU
Molecule: ribosomal RNA, 1371 nt
Filed under: uncultured bacterium
Lineage: Bacteria
Description: bacterial SSU rRNA
Rfam family: Bacterial small subunit ribosomal RNA
Source: RNAcentral